GGACCCUGAGAUCAUGACCUGAGCUGAAACCAAGAAUCCAACGCCCAUCCGACUGAAGCACCCAGAUGUAGAUACACCCAACGACAGCCUUAUGAUUUCUGCUGCCCUGAGGAGUGUCCAAAGUGGGCAUUCAGGUCAGAUAGAAUCCAAAAGAGGUGCUGAGAGGUUCAGCUACACAAUUGGCAUCAUGGACUCCCCUUGCUUGCCCUCUGGCCACCCUACUGCUGGGACUCUUUGAGCUGACCCAUUCCUGAGGAGAGGUGUUUGCUCUGCUGCUCCAACUCAGAAUGGGAAAUUGCUGUGGUUCCUGCUGUGGUUCCUGCUGUGAUGGU
Molecule: long non-coding RNA, 332 nt
Organism: Ailuropoda melanoleuca (giant panda)
Lineage: Eukaryota; Metazoa; Chordata; Mammalia; Carnivora; Ursidae
Exons: 3
Source: RefSeq, a predicted model, not a curated record